UAGGUAGUUUCAUGUUGUUGGGCUUUAAAUUUUAAACACAAGAACAUCAAACUACCUGAU
Molecule: microRNA precursor, 60 nt
Filed under: Gallus gallus (chicken)
Lineage: Eukaryota; Metazoa; Chordata; Aves; Galliformes; Phasianidae
Description: Gga-Mir-196-P3_pre stem-loop
Source: RNAcentral